This is a long non-coding RNA of Penaeus monodon (black tiger shrimp), 849 nucleotides long. RefSeq lists it as uncharacterized. The transcript is spliced from 2 exons. Lineage: Eukaryota; Metazoa; Arthropoda; Malacostraca; Decapoda; Penaeidae. The record is from RefSeq and is a predicted model, not a curated record.
CUUGGGACGGCACUGGUAGUGUGUCCGUGGCUGUGGGGCCGAGAGGUUAUACACGCUACCCGCCGCUCAGGUUCUUGUUGCCACCCUCUCCUUCCAGCCCAUACUACCACUACUACCAAAAACUGCUACUACUACCACUACACUCACACUACUAACACCACCUCCGGGCCAUGCCUACCACCCAUCACAUGGUUUACGGCUGGUCUGUGCACAUCCCACACGAACUGUUAUGCCUCUGAUAACACUGUCCUGGUAGUGAUGAGAGCGGCCGACUGUGCUUACUGAAUUGGCGGUGAAAGGUGCUAAGGUUACCGAUAGUUGUCGCGUCAGUCACAGAGGACAAGCGUUUCUCCGUAUAACAACGAAUUAUUGCCAAUUAAAACCAACCCAUCUUAAUUAAUUGUAUGAUUUUGCAGUGAUUAGUGUAUAGUAGUGAAUCAUUAGGCAUUUGUAUUUUAGAAAAGGGCCUUUGUCGGCAGUUGAAAAAGUCGAAUAUCCGAACACCGAGCUACUGAAGCAGGUGUAGCGUAACCCUGGUACAAGUGCUGUGGCUGUGCUGACUGACCUGACGUGUCCCGACCGAGGCGCAGGCGAAUUCCCAUCCGUCAGACAUCGAAUCAGGAUCCCACGGAAACAGACUUAAAUCCCACCGGCGAUGGAGUGCGGGGCGGUGCUACGUCUGCUGGGCAGGGGCAGGGCGGUCAAAGUGCCGCUCUGCUCCCUCACCCUCACCCCAGCUAUGGCCAGGCUCCCCAACGCCUUCUCUCAGGUACGGAGCGAUUUUGGUGCGCGUCUGGUCAUGUGGAGGAAAGGGUUCAAUACAUAGGUAAGUAGUUUAUCUAAAAAAAA